GCGGAAGUGGUGCUUCUCUGAGCCAGGGAAGCUGGAUCGCGUGGGUCGAGGCGGUGGAUCUGUGGGGGGAUGUUCGAGUGACGCCUGCUCCAGCUCUGGCUUUGCCGGGCCCGAGCCCCAGGAGCGCAGGGUGCUGGCAGAGUUGGAAGAUCACCAGAUCAGAUGGCUGCCUGAGACGCAGCCUCGAGGCACAGAGGAUCCAGAACCGCGGUCCCUGAAGUUCGGUGACGCCCAUAGGCCUUCCAGUCGGAGUCGGAGCGCUUCAGGCGAAGUCUUGGCUCCCUGGGGAGGUUCAGGAGGGGUCACGCCCGUUGUUCAGGUGUGGAAGAUAGGCUGCAGGCUUGGGGUAGGGGACAUCUGGGAAAAUGAAAACUUGAGCUACAUUUCAAGCAACUGUUUGCCUUUCCAGGUUGCUCCCCAAGGAGCAGAAACCCCCAGACUGUUGUUUCAGACCAAACUUUCCAGGUGAGAGAUAUGCACCACCAGGGGACCAGAAGUUGGAGAGAAGCAGUUUUCAUAGCUCUUGUCCAAGAAAAGAGAGGGCCCAUCACCUACCCUCAGUUUGGGCCUUCUGAUUUUGUCUUUUACAAACGACAUCCCUUACUAUUCCCCCCACCUCCUGCUGUGUCUUCUGGUGCAGCACCUAGAGCUUCCUUUCUGGUCACGGUAGUCAGUGUGGGGUCCCUUCCUCCAGGUUCCUGACUCAGAAGGAAGCUGCAGUGUUGUGUCCUGCCGAGUGCCUCCAGAGCAGUCCUGCAGGCCAUGAACAGAGGGUCUCAGAGACAUGCCUUGGGUCUGCCCGACUCCCUUCCCUUCCUGAUGAUGAAGUUUUCCUGGAAGACGUCCCUUUGGUCAGAAUGAGAUCACCUCCAGACACCCAUGCGCCCACAGGAAACCCAACCAGGUGAGUUGCCUCUUGCUUCCAAGCUGAAUGAGAUACCUCUUUCCCACACAUAACAAGAAAAUUCUAGAGGGGAAUGGAACCUUCUCCAGCCUGGCAGCCUGGCUUGUGGGGAUGGAGACAGGUGGCCCUUGGAGGCCAGUGCUUGUCUUUGGACAGAGUUUUUUCUUAUUCAUUGUCUCUUCCACUUCCAGUGUCCAUGUCUCUGACCAGCAGUAUGAAACCGGCUUGGGCCAGGGGGUUGACCAAGCUGGAGUCCCCCCAGAGCACCCCCUCCAUGAGCACCCAGAGACUGCAGGGGCAGAUGACAGCUGGCGGAGGAUAAAUGGUUCUGUGAGCAUUUCCAGGACUACAUGCUGUAGCCCCCCUGGGACUGCAAAUGGUGACAUUCCAACCUUCAACCCCACUGGACUGCUGACCAUUGACCCACUUGCAGCUACAGACCCCCUCAAACCUCUUCCAGUUGAUGUCCUGGAACCUCCAGGCAACAGUACCCCAGGUGCUCCUGGCCGUACUUCCCUAGCUUGGGGCACUGGCCAGCCUGUUUCCAGGCCAACAUGGCACAGUCUGCGCCUUGAGGAGGUGGUUCAGGAGCUGGCCAGACUGGAUCCCUCUAUGAGUGACACACUCACUUCCUGUCCCAGUCCAGAGCCACCCCUGGGUCUGCUAGAUGGGCUGAUUCCUUUAGCUGAGGUCUGGGCUGCGAUGAGGCCAGCCGGUGAGGAGGCUGGAAAGGACGCUGCUGGUACUCCUGAGCCAGGGUGAGUGUGGGGGGUACUAGGGACUAGGGGGAUUCUAAGUCCCUGCACUCUGGUGGGUGGCGGGGAGGAUAACCCAGGGAGCUCUGGUUUUGUACCCAGGUGCUAUCUAUUUAGCUCCAGCCAGCUCUGGCCAACUUCUCAGGAGAUGAGGUCUGAAAN
RNAcentral lists this long non-coding RNA (1821 nucleotides) under Lynx pardinus (Iberian lynx). The record is from RNAcentral. Lineage: Eukaryota; Metazoa; Chordata; Mammalia; Carnivora; Felidae.